AGUGAACGCUGGCGGUAGGCCUAACACAUGCAAGUCGAACGGCAGCACAGUAAGAGCUUGCUCUUACGGGUGGCGAGUGGCGGACGGGUGUGGAAUACAUCGGAAUCUACUUUUUCGGGGGGGAUAACGUAGGGAAACUUACGCUAAUACCGCAUACGACCUACGGGUGAAAGCAGGGGAUCUUCGGACCUUGCGCGAUUGAAUGAGCCGAUGUCGGAUUAGCUAGUUGGCGGGGUAAAGGCCCACCAAGGCGACGAUCCGUAGCUGGUCUGAGAGGAUGAUCAGCCACACUGGAACUGAGACACGGUCCAGACUCCUACGGGAGGCAGCAGUGGGGAAUAUUGGACAAUGGGCGCAAGCCUGAUCCAGCCAUACCGCGUGGGUGAAGAAGGCCUUCGGGUUGUAAAGCCCUUUUGUUAGGAAAGAAAAGCAGCAGGUUAAUACCCCGCUGUUCUGACGGUACCCAAAGAAUAAGCACCGGCUAACUUCGUG
This 492-nucleotide ribosomal RNA is filed under the name uncultured bacterium. RNAcentral describes it as "partial 16S ribosomal RNA". It matches the Rfam family "Bacterial small subunit ribosomal RNA", at positions 29 to 507 of the family's 1533-position model. The record is from RNAcentral.